GCACGAAGUUAGCCGGGGCUUAUUCUGCGGGUACCGUCAUCAUCGUCCCCGCCAAAAGAGCUUUACAACCCGAAGGCCUUCAUCACUCACGCGGCAUGGCUGGAUCAGGGUUGCCCCCAUUGUCCAAUAUUCCCCACUGCUGCCUCCCGUAGGAGUCUGGCCCGUGUCUCAGUGCCAGUGUGGCCGAUCAUCCUCUCAGACCGGCUAUCCGUCGUAGCCUUGGUGGGCCGUUACCCCGCCAACAAGCUGAUAGACCGCAGGCUCAUCCAGAAGCGACUAUUGCUAGCCCUUUAACACCGCUGUACUAUGCGGUAUUAGCCCCGGUUUCCCAGGGUUGUCCCGCUCUUCUAGGUAGAUUCCUACGUGUUCCUCACCCGUCCGCCACUCCCUGUAUUGCUACAGAUCGUUCGACUUGCAUGUUUAAGACGCGCCGCCAGCGUUCGUU
RNAcentral lists this ribosomal RNA (445 nucleotides) under uncultured bacterium. RNAcentral describes it as "partial 16S rRNA". The record is from RNAcentral.